RNAcentral lists this ribosomal RNA (429 nucleotides) under Gemmatimonadota bacterium. RNAcentral's name for it is "Gemmatimonadetes bacterium partial 16S ribosomal RNA". It matches the Rfam family "Bacterial small subunit ribosomal RNA", at positions 355 to 776 of the family's 1533-position model. The record is from RNAcentral. Lineage: Bacteria; Pseudomonadati; Gemmatimonadota.
UAGGGAAUCUUCGGCAAUGGACGAAAGUCUGACCGAGCAACGCCGCGUGAGUGAAGAAGGUUUUCGGAUCGUAAAACUCUGUUGUUAGAGAAGAACAAGGACGUUAGUAACUGAACGUCCCCUGACGGUAUCUAACCAGAAAGCCACGGCUAACUACGUGCCAGCAGCCGCGGUAAUACGUAGGUGGCAAGCGUUGUCCGGAUUUAUUGGGCGUAAAGCGAGCGCAGGCGGUUUCUUAAGUCUGAUGUGAAAGCCCCCGGCUCAACCGGGGAGGGUCAUUGGAAACUGGGAGACUUGAGUGCAGAAGAGGAGAGUGGAAUUCCAUGUGGAGCGGUGAAAUGCGUAGAUAUAUGGAGGAAAACCAGUAGCGAAGGUGGCUAUCUGGUCUGUAACUGACGCUGAGGCUCGAAAGCGUGGGGAGCAAACAGG